CAGAGCGUAGCUUAAAUAGUUAUAGUGUCUCCCUUACACUGAGAAGUUACCCGUGCAAAUCGGGUCGCCCUGA
This 73-nucleotide transfer RNA is filed under the name Scopelarchoides danae. RNAcentral's name for it is "tRNA-Val". It matches the Rfam family "tRNA". From Rfam's summary of the family: Transfer RNA (tRNA) molecules are approximately 80 nucleotides in length. The record is from RNAcentral. Lineage: Eukaryota; Metazoa; Chordata; Actinopteri; Aulopiformes; Scopelarchidae.